GACGAACGCUGGCGGCGUGCUUAACACAUGCAAGUCGAACGGAAAGGCCCUGCUUGCAGGGUGCUCGAGUGGCGAACGGGUGAGUAACACGUGGGUGAUCUGCCCCUUACUUUGGGAUAAGCCUGGGAAACUGGGUCUAAUACUGGAUAGGACCAUGCUGUAGGUGGUGUGGUGGAAAGAUUAGUUUCGGUAAGGGAUGAGCUCGCGGCCUAUCAGCUUGUUGGUGGGGUAAUGGCCUACCAAGGCGUCGACGGGUAGCCGGCCUGAGAGGGUGGACGGCCACAUUGGGACUGAGGAACGGCCCAGACUCCUACGGGAGGCAGCAGUGGGGAAUAGUGCACAAUGGGCGCAAGCCUGAUGCAGCGACGCCGCGUGGGGGAUGACGGCCUUCGGGUUGUAGACUCCUUUCAGCCAUGACGAAGCCCUUGUGGUGACGGUAGUGGUAGAAGAAGCACCGGCUAACUACGUG
Molecule: ribosomal RNA, 469 nt
Filed under: uncultured bacterium
Lineage: Bacteria
Description: partial 16S ribosomal RNA
Rfam family: Bacterial small subunit ribosomal RNA
Source: RNAcentral